AACGAACGCUGGCGGCAUGCCUAACACAUGCAAGUCGAACGAGACCUUCGGGUCUAGUGGCGCACGGGUGCGUAACGCGUGGGAACCUGCCCUUAGGUUCGGAAUAACUCCCCGAAAGGGGUGCUAAUACCGGCUAAUGUCUUCGGACCAAAGAUUUAUCGCCUUUGGAUGGGCCCGCGUUGGAUUAGCUAGUUGGUAGGGUAAAAGCCUACCAAGGCGACGAUCCAUAGCUGGUCUGAGAGGAUGAUCAGCCACACUGGGACUGAGACACGGCCCAGACUCCUACGGGAGGCAGCAGUGGGGAAUAUUGGACAAUGGGCGAAAGCCUGAUCCAGCAAUGCCGCGUGAGUGAUGAAGGCCUUAGGGUUGUAAAGCUCUUUUACCCGGGAUGAUAAUGACAGUACCGGGAGAAUAAGCUCCGGCUAACUCCGU
This 432-nucleotide ribosomal RNA is filed under the name uncultured bacterium. Its description in RNAcentral is "partial 16S ribosomal RNA". It matches the Rfam family "Bacterial small subunit ribosomal RNA", at positions 29 to 506 of the family's 1533-position model. The record is from RNAcentral.